UCACAAUCCAGUCAAACUUCUAGAAGACUAUAGGCUGAGUCAAGACCACAUGGAGCAGAACUGCUACAUGUUUCAGUCAACCCACAUCAUCACUAAGUUCUGAAGUGGCUUGAAUAAAGAAUCCACCUAACAAUUAGAGGAUACUCAUCCAAUCUGCAAAUGACAGACUCUUGAUAUUCUUCUUAUUCCUUACUUUCAUCUUCAUUGCCACAUUAAUUGAUUUGGGCUAAUUCAAGAAUUUUUAACAACUCAGAAAAUGUCAUGGAGUAAGAGUUCUCACAAACUAUUCUGAUACUACUUAAUUAGAAGAAUAAAUUUAAAAUUUUGGACAAGAGCCGGUUUUCUUAUAUCAUCUUCACUCACUUAACUGAACAACUUAAAAUAUGACCGUCCUUAAAGAAACUAAUACAUCUUUAAACUUUGAAAAAAC
RNAcentral lists this long non-coding RNA (430 nucleotides) under Homo sapiens (human). RNAcentral describes it as "HSALNT0038233". Lineage: Eukaryota; Metazoa; Chordata; Mammalia; Primates; Hominidae. The record is from RNAcentral.